UCGUUAGCUCAGUGGGUAGAGCGCUUCACUGGAAAUGGAGAUGUCCCUGGUUCGAUACCAGAACGA
RNAcentral lists this transfer RNA (66 nucleotides) under Ixodes scapularis (black-legged tick). It matches the Rfam family "tRNA". Rfam says of the family: Transfer RNA (tRNA) molecules are approximately 80 nucleotides in length. Their secondary structure includes four short double-helical elements and three loops (D, anti-codon, and T loops). Further hydrogen bonds mediate the characteristic L-shaped molecular structure. tRNAs have two regions of fundamental functional importance: the anti-codon, which is responsible for specific mRNA codon recognition, and the 3' end, to which the tRNAs corresponding amino acid is attached (by aminoacyl-tRNA synthetases). tRNAs cope with the degeneracy of the genetic code in two manners: having more than one tRNA (with a specific anti-codon) for a particular amino acid; and 'wobble' base-pairing, i.e. permitting non-standard base-pairing at the 3rd anti-codon position. The record is from Rfam by way of RNAcentral. Lineage: Eukaryota; Metazoa; Arthropoda; Arachnida; Ixodida; Ixodidae.